This 443-nucleotide ribosomal RNA is filed under the name uncultured bacterium. RNAcentral's name for it is "partial 16S ribosomal RNA". It matches the Rfam family "Bacterial small subunit ribosomal RNA", at positions 338 to 795 of the family's 1533-position model. The record is from RNAcentral.
CCUACGGGGGGCUGCAGUGGGGGAUAUUGGACAAUGGGGGAAACCCUGAUCCAGCGACGCCGCGUGAGUGAAGAAGUAUUUCGGUAUGUAAAGCUCUAUCAGCAGGGAAGAAAGAAAUGACGGUACCUGAGUAAGAAGCCCCGGCUAACUACGUGCCAGCAGCCGCGGGAAUACGUAGGGGGCAAGCGUUAUCCGGAAUUUCUGGGUGUAAAGGGAGCGUAGACGGUAAUGCAAGUCUGGAGUGAAAGGCGGGGGCCCACCCCCCGGACUGCUCUGGAAACUGUGUAACUGGAGUGCAGGAGAGGCAGGCGGAAUUCCUAGUGUAGCGGUGAAAUGCGUAGAUAUUAGGAGGAACACCAGUGGCGAAGGCGGCCUGCUGGACUGUAACUGACGUUGAGGCUCGAAAGCGUGGGGAGCAAACAGGAUUAGAUACCCCUGAAGUC